Molecule: ribosomal RNA, 250 nt
Filed under: uncultured bacterium
Lineage: Bacteria
Description: partial 16S ribosomal RNA
Rfam family: Bacterial small subunit ribosomal RNA
Source: RNAcentral
UACAGAGGGUGCAAGCGUUAAUCGGAGUUACUGGGCGUAAAGGGCGCGUAGGCGGUUAUAUGUGUGUGAUGUGAAAGCCCCGGGCUUAACCUGGGAAGUGCAUCGCAAACUGUAUAGCUAGAGUAUAUGAGAGGGUGGCGGAAUUUCCGGUGUAGCGGUGAAAUGCGUAGAGAUCGGAAGGAACGUCAAUGGCGAAGGCAGCCACCUGGCAUAAUACUGACGCUGAGGCGCGAAAGCGUGGGGAGCGAAC